RNAcentral lists this ribosomal RNA (497 nucleotides) under uncultured bacterium. Its description in RNAcentral is "partial 16S ribosomal RNA". It matches the Rfam family "Bacterial small subunit ribosomal RNA", at positions 28 to 507 of the family's 1533-position model. The record is from RNAcentral.
GAUGAACGCUGGCGGCGUGCCUAAUACAUGCAAGUCGAGCGAACAGACGAGGAGCUUGCUCCUCUGACGUUAGCGGCGGACGGGUGAGUAACACGUGGAUAACCUACCUAUAAGACUGGGAUAACUUCGGGAAACCGGAGCUAAUACCGGAUAAUAUAUUGAACCGCAUGGUUCAAUAGUGAAAGACGGUUUUGCUGUCACUUAUAGAUGGAUUCGCGCCGCAUUAGCUAGUUGGUAAGGUAACGGCUUACCAAGGCAACGAUGCGUAGCCGACAUGAGAGGGUGAUCAGCCACACUGGAACUGAGACACGGUCCAGACUCCUACGGGAGGCAGCAGUAGGGAAUCUUCCGCAAUGGGCGAAAGCUUGACGGAGCAACGCCGCGUGAGUGAUGAAGGUCUUCGGAUCGUAAAACUCUGUUAUUAGGGAAGAACAAAUGUGUAAGUAACUAUGCACGUCUUGACGGUACCUAAUCAGAAAGCCACGGCUAACUACGUG